CUAAGUUUGAUGGCGACCGGCGCACGGGUGAGUAACACGUAUCCAACCUGCCGAUGACUCGGGGAUAGCCUUUCGAAAGAAAGAUUAAUACCCGAUGGCACAGUUCUUCCGCAUGGUGGAACUAUUAAAGAAUUUCGGUCAUCGAUGGGGAUGCGUUCCAUUAGGUUGUUGGCGGGUAACGGCCCACCAAGCCUUCGAUGGAUAGGGGUUCUGAGAGGAAGGUCCCCCACAUUGGAACUGAGACACGGUCCAAACUCCUACGGGAGGCAGCAUG
RNAcentral lists this ribosomal RNA (274 nucleotides) under uncultured bacterium. RNAcentral describes it as "partial 16S ribosomal RNA". It matches the Rfam family "Bacterial small subunit ribosomal RNA", at positions 79 to 353 of the family's 1533-position model. The record is from RNAcentral.